This 379-nucleotide ribosomal RNA is filed under the name uncultured bacterium. RNAcentral's name for it is "partial 16S ribosomal RNA". It matches the Rfam family "Bacterial small subunit ribosomal RNA", at positions 959 to 1345 of the family's 1533-position model. The record is from RNAcentral.
ACGAGAAGAACCUUACCCGGUNUAAAUCUUGUGACCGCUCGAGAAAAGGAGUUUCCCUUGGGGCACAAAGNAACAUGUGGCACAGGGGUNUUCAGAUCUUGUGUUGAGAGAUUGCGGUUAAUGUCGCAAAGAGCGCAACCCCCGUGAUUAGUUUCCACCACGUAAGGGUGGGCACUCUAAGCAGACUGCCGGUGACAAACCGGAGGAAGGUGGGGAUGACGUCAAGUCAUCAUGCCCCUUAUGUCCUGGGCUACACACGUGCUACAAUGGAUGGUACAAAGGGAAGCCAACCGGCGAGGAAGCAAAUCCCAUAAAACCNUUNUCAGUUCGGAUGGCUNUGCAAUUNGCCUCCAUGAAGNUCGGAAUCGNUAGUANGGNA